GUAACUUCGGGAUAAGGAUUGGCUCUAAGGGUUGGGUAUAUCGGGCCCUGGCGGGAAGCCGCUGAUGCUGGACUGGACUGCUGUGUGGCAACAUGCGGUGGACCGGACCGGCGUCGGCGUGUGGACGGCCAGGGCAGUCCCUCGGGACGGCCGGUAUACAUUUAACAACCAGCUUAGAACUGGUACGGACAAGGGGAAUCUGACUGUCU
Molecule: ribosomal RNA, 209 nt
Filed under: Chloropicon mariensis
Lineage: Eukaryota; Viridiplantae; Chlorophyta; Chloropicophyceae; Chloropicales; Chloropicaceae
Description: partial Eukaryotic large subunit ribosomal RNA
Rfam family: Eukaryotic large subunit ribosomal RNA
Source: RNAcentral